This is a non-coding RNA of Streptomyces xiamenensis, 58 nucleotides long. The record is from Rfam. NCBI's taxonomy places the organism in Bacteria, Bacillati, Actinomycetota, Actinomycetes, Kitasatosporales, Streptomycetaceae.
GCCGGUCCUCGGUAGUGGCCCCCGGGCGACUUCCCGGGAGCUUCGAUCGAUGGCCGGC